ACCCAGGCGCCAUCAGCGCGCGCCGCCGGUCACAUGUCCUUUGUUUACCCCGGUCACAGCCGCGGUGGGUGAGGGACGGACAGACCGACCCCGACCGACAGACCGACCACCCAGCGGGGGGCAGCGGGAGAUUGGCGUGGGGGAAAAAGGGAAUGGCGGCGAGGAACGAGUGCACCCCGCAGAGACGCUGUGUGGGCUUGUCCCCUCUCGGGCGGUGUGAGGCUCAGCAUGUCCCUCCCAGCAAAGAGAUGUGGAAGGCCCCUAGUGUUGUCUUUUCUGGAAAACAAAAAGAGAAAGCGAAGUGUUGAUAGAAGAAGGGGGAAAACAACAAUUUACGUGGGAAAUCACACUGACCGGUAGCUGACGCUCAAGGAGAAGUUGGAUCUCAGAAAUGACACAGAAGUCGCAGGGUUUUUACUGGAACUUCUCUUCAUCUUGAGUAAAGUGUUCUCUGAAAAGCCGUGUGAUUGCUGUCCAGCUGGAAAGUGCAAUUCCCUUGGGAAGCAAAUAAACCAUCUCCAGGGAAGGUCCUGCAAGUGUUAAUGCUACAACUCACCAUGGCAAAGGUGAUCAGCUGAGGAGUUUCUUAGCAAGCAGGAAAGUGUGAGUUAAAUUUAAAAGAAAAAAGGAAAGGGAAAAAAAAAAGCCUGAUAAAUAUAACUUGCUUGGUAGGACAGCUUCCUGUUCCCUUCAAACAAAUCAAUUUUCAGUGCCUUGUUUUGACUAGUUGCAAUUUUUAAUUGGCUUAAAAGAUUCUGCUUGUACUGCUUUUGAUCUGUACUGUUCAUAGUUUGUUUUUAAUUAAAGAAAGGAGAAAAAAAAGAAAAACAACCACCCCCACCCCUGUCAAACCACAGUCUGUGGUUGUUUCACUAAUGUGGCUUCAAAGGGACUGCAACACAGCUUUUCCUUACAGACAAUUGAGUGCUUAGUGUCAGACAAAUCAUUUAUUGUAAUGCUGAAUGCUGGUCUGUAUUUCACUAGUGAAACCUCUGUUUGUAUAUCAUAAUACAUAAGCUGUUGGUCUCUUUAGGGGUACUGCACAUAGAAAAGCACAAAUGCACUUACUGUGAUAUUUCCUCUUAUUUCCAGGUUAGGAGAUUGUAUUAAGGGAGUGCACUUCCCUAGACAUAAUGAAACAAUAUGAAUUUAUUUCAUGUUUAAGUGUUUGAAUGUCAUAUUGUAACUGUUAUUACUGUGUUGCUUUUCAGGGUGAGCAGCAAGAAGAAAAUCAAGCUCUUGCAUAACAAUACUGGGGCAAUUUUUGCUCCAUUUUGAUUUUGCUAUGAGGAUCUUGUGAACUGUAAAGAAUUACUGUAAGUUGUGUGAAAUUCUGUGUUGUGUUGAACAGCACAUUAAACUCAAUUACCUAAAGUUUUAUUGUGUUAUGUCAAUGUUUAAGUGUGGAGUGGAUUAUUUCCCUGGAAGAGUCUGUAGAGAGUUCUCUGAGGGGCAACAAAAGAAGACAAGCUAAAGUGCUCAUGGUAUUGCUAAACUUAGAAUUUGAUAACUUUUUGUAGGUUAUUUUAAUGACUGAGUUCCUUACAUUUUAUUUAAAACUCAGAAGGGUUCUAGUGUCAGUUGCAGUAUCAAGUGUGCUUCCCUCUGAAUGUGUUUCUUGGAAUGCUUCUCUUUAGGGAACAAAUGUAACAUAUCCCGUGUAUUGGAAGGGAAAUGAUGGGUAAAAAUGCUGGACUGUAGAUUGCAUUGGUGCCUUUGAGAAAAUGGGUAAUUGAGAUCAGCUACUGUGGUGCUUAUCCAAAAUCAUCUGUCAUUGAAUCAUUUGAUGUCUGGCUUUGCUUUUGAUAGUACAUGAGCUGAUAAGUGAUGCAUGUUAAUUAUUUUCUUGUGUCACAGAGAUGGAGUAAGAGCAGUACUGGCAGUAACUGAAGUUCUACAGAACAGUGGUGGCACUGAAUGUUUUGUAGUUACCAAGUGUGAGUAAUCCUGGAGAGGUUUUGAACCAAGAACUUGAGGUUGGUGCAGCAUUCAGGGUAUUCAGUGUUUGGUUAUCAGAAGCACAGAAACUUCCAGUGUUCUGAACUUUUUUUUCUUUAACCACACACUUGCAUAAGCUUUCAGGUCUUGAUCUUACAGUUUUCAAGCCAGCUGGGCUUUCCCACCAGCUUACACUGAGCAGCCUCACUGUGGGGAGAAAUUCCCCUAAUUAGAUCAUUCUAGUCUGCAUUCAGUUUUUUAAAUCAGCUACUGCACUGGCUGUGAGAAACUGCUGUUGCUCUUAAAUAUUAUCAUGAGGCUUUUGAAGUGUCUGAAUUCAAUGUUGCUUUAUGAACCAUAGAUUCUACUGAAUGUUGGACAGAUAGAUUUAAAAAAAGUUGAGAAGGCAGUUUUUUGAGACUUUCUCAAAAUGAAAAUGCCACUUGUUCUGUAUUUGUGUUUUCUCUUUGCUCUGUACUUUUCAGGUUUUUCUUUGACCAAACAAUGACUCAUGUAAAUAACUCAGAUUAGUUUGGCUCAUGGAAGGAGUGGGACUGGUGACACCUGUGCUCAGUGAAGCUCUCAGAUUUUCAAUUGUUGAUGUCAUUGCAGUGAGAAGGGAAGAGGACUCAGCCUGCUGUUACAUUUUCCUCCAAAGUCCUCAAGAUCUGAAGAAUCCACAACUGCAUAUUCUCAGCCAGUUCAACCUCAUUCUUGUGCCUUUUUAAAUGCACACUGCAAAUAUUUCUAUUAUUUAAUGACUUGCUGUUAUGCAAGUAGAAUAACACUGCCAGUACCUGAUUUGUUGAGUUGCACUCACUGUGUAAAUUACUGGUAGAAGGAUUAUUCUUGUUCAUAGUACUGAAAUAGAGCACAACUCAUCCCUUACUAAGGCUUCCUCCAAACCUCCCAUGACACUGGCACUUCAUGCUGAAGGAAAACCAAGAGAAAGAAGACUUCUAAACAUUUCCCUUUGUAGUGUUACAGUGUGACAGGUGAUGUAUUUGGGUUGCUCUAUGAGCAUACACUUUUGAAUAUCUGACUUCUGUAGAGCAGAAUAUGAUCAUUGCUGUUUUCCAGUAAAGUUAGCAGAAUGGUGAAUGGAAAUGAUUCUGGAACAAGAUUCUUUCUUCUGAUGGAUAUGAUAAACAGUGGCUCUGCUUUAGUCAAAAUGGCCAAGUCAGGCUUUCUGCCCCUGUUGGUCUGUAAAAAUUGUGGAAUUUGUCUAUGUUCAGAUGUCAGAACUAAACCCAUAAGAAUUACUUACCCUCUUGUUACAUUGAUACAUUAAAAAUGUGAUUUAGGAGAAUUACUUUAAGCAGAAUCAUAAGUUGUGCUGUUGGCAAUACUCAAUACUUAGGGCAUAAACCUAUAAUGUUGAAUUACAAAUAAAUACAGGAAAUGCAGGAAUAAGGUAUUUGUUGUUCUUUUUUAGGACAGCUUCCAAAAGCCAUGGGCAGAAGAGGAUCUGUGAUGGAAGUGUAGGAAUGCCCUGGUGAAUGUGCAGAGUGUUCUGUGAGAGCCAUUGCAGGGCUGCCAGGGUAACAGUGCCUCUGCCUUCAUCUUCCAGCUCCCACAGCUGCUGCUGCUCUGCCCUUCUCCUUUCCAGUGUCCCCACAGCCUCUGGCACACUUUGAGUCCGUGUGAUAACCAGGAACUCACCUAAACACACCCUCAGAAGGGUGGGACCUUUGACUUUUCGUUUUUAUUUUUUAUUCCUGUCACUGCUUUCAUGUGGUUUGUUCUGUCACACCAGGGAGGUGCUCUGAGGCUGGGAACCAGUGGCAAGCCCAGGAAAUGACAGCAGCACUGCAAGCUUGGGAUUGAGCUGUGGGCUGAACAUUGAUCUGGGAUGUGAAACACCUUUUCACCUUGUAGGCAUGCAGAAAAGCACUGAGGAAAAAGCUGAUCCAGCUGUUCAGAUUAUUAUGUCAAAUUAUUCUGGGAUCUUAGGCAAAUAAUACCUAUUUUUGGUGACAAAUGUAAAGCCUAUUGAGCACUAGAAAUAGGAUAUUAAGGGUUUAACUUAAAAUUAUGAGCUUCCAGAAUGCUGAUUUUAGGAACUUUUUUCUUCAUUUGCCUAUUCUGCCUCAUAUCUUCCUAAUAAUAAAAAAACCAACAACGAGGUGUUAAGAGGAAAAAAAAAAACUUUGUGAUGAUACUUAGUAGGUGUUUGAAAUUCACUUGUUUCAAAUUUUGAUUACUCUUUGAUAUCAGAUCUUUGUGGUGUAAAAUAGCAAAGGUGAGUUCCAAGCUGCAGGGCAGUAUUGAUGUGUUUAAUUGAUGUGUUUAAUUGGUGAGUUGACACCAGGUGUUCUCAGAGAGUGUGAGUUUUGUUUUUAAAAUUCUGUAUUGGGAAUUGAAAGAAAAAAUAUUUUUAGAUACAAAAACGUGUCUCUUUUGGAUGUCCAGUGAUCCUCUCUCCUUCCCUGCUUCCAUCCAUCCUAAUCUUGCUUUAUUCAGUUACAGCUGUGAGUGAUGUUUUUCUUCCCCUCUUGUGCACUAAAACCCUGCCUCUGCAAUUACUGCUGCUGUUUUAUUGGGGGAAAAUUGCCUUUCAGUCUUUUCUUACAAAGGAAGAAAAUUAAUGGAAUGAGAUUUUCAGCUGCAUUUACAUCUCUGGGUUUGUGUAAAGACUGAACAGAAUCACAGAUUGAUAAACUGAGGGAAAAAUGUUAUCUGUGGAAGGAAUUGAGGACUGAUUCUGGUGUUAAUUAUAGGGAGCAUGUUCUUACCUGUAUUUGCUUUUUUCUUUAAUCAGAAUGGAGCAGAAAUCAAAGAAUGAGAGUGCAUAAAUCAUGGGACAUUACAGAAACACAUUUUGUUGUACAGGGGCUGUUAGGAGACUUGAAAAGCCUCUGAGGUAGUGGGCUACAGUUGCUGUAUUUGAGUUUUGUCACACUGACACAAACUCAGUUCUUAAUGCUGCCUUCAAAGCUUGGCCAACCUCAGAGGGAGCCAAAACCCCCUGUUAUGGAAUUAAGAAAGAUACCUUUAUAUUGAACACCAUUUCCCUUAAAAGCUGCAGAAAGUAAAACACACAAAAAGGUCAGGCAGGAAGACCAUCACUGACACCAAACUUGCAAAUAAAAUAAUUUCUGCAGAGCUCUGUACCAGUAUAUGACAAAAAUGGAAUGAUGUGUCACAGGUCAGUUUGCAGAAUUGUGCUUACAUCAAUAAUCUAUCUGAUUGCUGCAAAUAACUUCUUACUAAGUGUUUUCUAGAGAGGAAAACAGCCUUAUUAAGUAAAAUAAAGGCAAUUUGAGUGAAAAGUGCCAUUAGGGAUCUGAUGAAGGAAAAUACAAAUAGUCCCUUGAAACUGAUUAGGAGAAAGUUAAAAAUUCAUUAGAAUCCUGGAGCUGCCAACACACUAAUGAAGUUGUUGGAUUGCUGAGCUUCUCAAGUCAUGCCCAGCACUGACCAGCCCCAGGGCAGGGCUUGUGUAGCUGCUCUAUUUACAGACAGCUUCUAAAUUUAAUAGUGGUUUACAAAUAUAUUUUGGGUUAGAAACUUUAAUGGUGAUGUGUGAAAGUUGACUGAUUUUAUGUUUGUGUCCUUGUGUUUGUGAGCUGCAACCUCCUAAUAUUUCUAAUCUAUUUUAAACUCUCAGUUUCUGGUUUAUUUCUAUCUAAGAAUCCUGUUAGAAGGUGGCUGGAUUUUAUCUGCAAAGCUUUUGCACUCUGCAAGUUUCAGGUGGCACAAACAGCUUGUGAGAAGUCAAAAAAGUCCUGUAGUUCUGUAGCUGAUGCUGUGCUCUGCUGUGAACUUGAUGCAUGUUGCUGUUUUUCUCUAAUGCUGCAGUCCAUCCUCAGAAAAGCUUUAAGUGCAUUAUAAAAUUGUAAUGUAUUAUGGUCUAGAUAUUAAUUAUACAUAUAGGAAUGUUUC
Long non-coding RNA from Zonotrichia leucophrys gambelii, 5823 nucleotides. RefSeq lists it as uncharacterized. Lineage: Eukaryota; Metazoa; Chordata; Aves; Passeriformes; Passerellidae. The transcript has 3 exons. The record is from RefSeq and is a predicted model, not a curated record.